RNAcentral lists this ribosomal RNA (532 nucleotides) under uncultured bacterium. Its description in RNAcentral is "bacterial SSU rRNA". It matches the Rfam family "Bacterial small subunit ribosomal RNA", at positions 94 to 660 of the family's 1533-position model. The record is from RNAcentral.
AGUGGCAGACGGGUGAGUAACGCGUGAACAUGUGCCUUUUUUCUGGGGAUACCGUUUGGAAACGAACGUUAAUACCGAAUGUGGCGGCAUCGUUAAACUGUUAGGGAGAAAAGAGCAGUUCGCGUUCUAUCAGCUAGAUGGUGGGGUAACGGCCUACCAUGGCUACGACGGAUAGCUGGUCUGAGAGGAUGAUCAGCCACACUGGAACUGAGACACGGUCCAGACUCCCACGGGAGGCAGCAGUGAGGAAUCUUGCACAAUGGGCGAAAGCCUGAUGCAGCGACGCCGCGUGAGGGACGACGGCCUUCGGGUUGUAAACCUCUGUCAGUAGGGAAGAAGGUUGACGGUACCUACUGAGGAAGCUUCGGCUAACUACGUGCCAGCAGCCGCGGUAAGACGUAGGGAGCUAGCGUUGCCCGGAAUUACUGGGCGUAAAGAGCCCGUAGGCGGGGGCGUGCGUCUGAGAGGAAAUCUCAAGGCUUAACCUUGGGGCUGUCUCAGAUACGGCGCUUCUUGAGGAUGUGAGAGGAAA